AAGAUCAGUGACAAACCAGAUAAAACUUCUCAGUGGUCUAAGACAGCUACAAUGAAGCCACAAAUGCAGUUCAUAGUUCCUGUAUUUCUAUAAUGCAUUAAUGAAUAACAGUAAUUAAAAAAAAAUGUAAUGUCAAGGUUUUGUGUUAAUUCCAGCUAUGUUGAGUAUUCUGUGAAUAAUUUAGAUUUUAGGUGCAUAUUCUUAAUUCUUUGCAAAACAACCAGAACUGUUUGCUAUUGAAAGGUUGGUAUGUAGUUUAAAUAAAUAAAAAUGAUAUUCUUGACAAAA
Molecule: long non-coding RNA, 288 nt
Organism: Cyprinus carpio (common carp)
Lineage: Eukaryota; Metazoa; Chordata; Actinopteri; Cypriniformes; Cyprinidae
Exons: 2
Source: RefSeq, a predicted model, not a curated record